AGGACGGACGCUGGCGGCGUGCUUAACACAUGCAAGUCGAGCGAGGCCCCUUCCUUCGGGAGGGGAGCCCUAGCGGCGAACGGGUGAGUAACACGUGGGCAAUCUGCCCCUAGCACUGGGAUAACUCCGGGAAACCGGGGCUAAUACCGGAUAUGACCUCCGAGGGCAUCCUCUGGAGGUGGAAAGGAUUCUGGCUAGGGAUGAGCCCGCGGCCUAUCAGCUAGUUGGUGGGGUAAUGGCCCACCAAGGCGACGACGGGGUA
Molecule: ribosomal RNA, 262 nt
Filed under: uncultured bacterium
Lineage: Bacteria
Description: partial small subunit ribosomal RNA
Rfam family: Bacterial small subunit ribosomal RNA
Source: RNAcentral